AUUGAACGCUGGCGGCAGGCUUAACACAUGCAAGUCGAGCGGGGGAAGGUAGCUUGCUACCGGACCUAGCGGCGGACGGGUGAGUAAUGCUUAGGAAUCUGCCUAUUAGUGGGGGACAACAUCUCGAAAGGGAUGCUAAUACCGCAUACGUCCUACGGGAGAAAGCAGGGGAUCUUCGGACCUUGCGCUAAUAGAUGAGCCUAAGUCGGAUUAGCUAGUUGGUGGGUAAAGGCCUACCAAGGCGACGAUCUGUAGCGGGUCUGAGAGGAUGAUCCGCCACACUGGGACUGAGACACGGCCCAGACUCCUACGGGAGGCAGCAGUGGGGAAUAUUGGACAAUGGGGGGAGCCCUGAUCCAGCCAUGCCGCGUGUGUGAAGAAGGCCUUAUGGUUGUAAAGCACUUUAAGCGAGGAGGAGGCUACUCUAGUUAAUACCUAGGGAUAGUGGACGUUACUCGCAGAAUAAGCACCGGCUAACUCUGUGCCAGCCGCCGCCGUAA
This 500-nucleotide ribosomal RNA is filed under the name uncultured bacterium. RNAcentral's name for it is "partial 16S ribosomal RNA". It matches the Rfam family "Bacterial small subunit ribosomal RNA", at positions 30 to 523 of the family's 1533-position model. The record is from RNAcentral.